ACAAUUCACCUGCUGAAUCAACUAGCCCUGAAAAUGGAAGGCACUGGAGCCUUGGCCCCAUACUCGGCCGUCGCCAGCAGUCAGGAUGUGUGCUAGAGGCGCGGGAGCA
This 109-nucleotide microRNA precursor is filed under the name Dasypus novemcinctus (nine-banded armadillo). RNAcentral describes it as "miRNA (ENSDNOG00000045437.1)". Lineage: Eukaryota; Metazoa; Chordata; Mammalia; Cingulata; Dasypodidae. The record is from RNAcentral.